Molecule: ribosomal RNA, 510 nt
Filed under: uncultured bacterium
Lineage: Bacteria
Description: partial 16S ribosomal RNA
Rfam family: Bacterial small subunit ribosomal RNA
Source: RNAcentral
GACGAACGCUGGCGGCGUGCUUAACACAUGCAAGUCGAACGAAGAGCGAUGGAAGCUUGCUUCUAUCAAUCUUAGUGGCGAACGGGUGAGUAACGCGUAAUCAACCUGCCCUUCAGAGGGGGACAACAGUUGGAAACGACUGCUAAUACCGCAUACGAUCUAAUCUCGGCAUCGAGGAUAGAUGAAAGGUGGCCUCUACAUGUAAGCUAUCACUGAAGGAGGGGAUUGCGUCUGAUUAGCUAGUUGGAGGGGUAACGGCCCACCAAGGCGAUGAUCAGUAGCCGGUCUGAGAGGAUGAACGGCCACAUUGGGACUGAGUCACGGCCCAGACUCCUACGGGAGGCAGCAGUGGGGAAUCUUCCGCAAUGGACGAAAGUCUGACGGAGCAACGCCGCGUGAGUGAUGACGGCCUUCGGGUUGUAAAGCUCUGUUAAUCGGGACGAAAGGCCUUCUUGCGAACAGUUAGAAGGAUUGACGGUACCGGAAUAGAAAGCCACGGCUAACUACGUG